Molecule: long non-coding RNA, 1473 nt
Organism: Carassius gibelio (silver crucian carp)
Lineage: Eukaryota; Metazoa; Chordata; Actinopteri; Cypriniformes; Cyprinidae
Exons: 2
Source: RefSeq, a predicted model, not a curated record
UCUGUGAUCUUCCGUUUUGAUUUCAAAGAAUAAUCAUGAAGAUGUAUCGGCGAAGUGUGGCGUGGGACCAUUUUGAUUUAUAAAGCGAACUAGUUAACUGCAAACAUUGCGAUGCCGUGUUUAAGAACAACACGGCCACGACUCAAAUAAUGUACCUGUGCAUCCUGGCAACGUCAGUUCCCUCAGAGUGGGUGUUUUCGGCGGCUGGACUGACGGUCACCAGGUUGCGGUCGCGUCUGACACCAGAUCAUGUCAACAUGCUUAUACGGUAUUUCUCAACAAAAAUCCGUAGACUCGUGCAGAAGUUGUAUGCUAGUUACUAAAGUUAGUUAUUUUUCAUGAGGCUUUAAGUAGCAUAAUUUGUUACGUUAGUGUAAUUGUUAGGAAGGCUAAUAUCUGGCCUUUUCUUCUGGCUUGGAUAGUUUUGAGUUACAUUUUGACAAAAUCUGUCAGAUCUAAGUAGUAUAAUGUUUUUUUUAUGUUAUUGUUUAACAUGAUUCUUUUAUCAUUAUUAUUAUUUUGGAACAAUUGAGGUCUCUGUUUAAGAACACCUGCUAGCAGCUGCAGGUUCCGCUGCUUUAGAGCACUGCAUAUGCACGCGCAUAUAUGUUUGGUUUGCCUGAACGUAGUUUAACUGUCUGCCACAAGUUGAUCUUGUAAUAAAGGUCUCACCGAGGAAAAACACGCUGUAUGUUUGUAUUCAUUGCAUUUUUUUAUUAUAAAAAUUAAAUAAUUAAUUAUAUUAUAAAAAUAUUAAUGAUUAAUCGAUAGUCGAUCGUUAAUUCUCCCGACGAUCGACUAAGAAAAUUUAAUCGAAUGCCCAUCCCUACUACCUACAGUCAUAUACCCUAAAGAAGAGGGAUUGAGUCGUCGCCGUUGGAGACACUCUCAAGUGUUAGCUGACCAAUUCUGGUCCUCUUUUAUCCGCCAUUACCUUCCGAACUUGCAAGUCAGACAGAAAUGGCAACAUACAUUCCCUAAUAUGACCACAGGCACAAUAGUCAUGAUAAUGGAUCCUCAUCAGCCCAGAGCCCAUUGGCCAAUUGGAAAGGUAGUCCAGGUGCACCCCAGUCAAGAUUCGCAAGUGAGAUAAGUGGAUGUCCAAGUUCAAGGGAAGGUUUAUACUAGACCUGUAGCUCGACUUGUGGCUCUACCCCCCAUUCCUGAAGAUGAUACAGAGGAGACCAAUACCCCAACGCAGCAGCAGUGACACACAUGCAACGUUCUCAAGUGUCAAAUUGAACACAAUUUGGGGGCGGCUGUACAAACGGCUUGCAUGCAUGACCCUUUUAAGACGUGUUGCCCCUUUAAGAUGUGUUGCCCUUUUAAGUCUUAUCGCCAUUUUACCAUUGCGCAGCAGUUGAAGAGAAGAGACAUUUAGCCGAUCCAAUACAAGCAUAAUAUGUGUGCGUGCAUCCUAAAAACCACACCUGUUAUAUGCUAAAUGGGAAAGUAAAGUCCUCAAAGAAAGAA